GGUACAGUGGUGCAGUGGAUAGCACUGUCACAAGAAGGUCCCGGGUUCGAAUCCGGCCCCGUGCUU
This 66-nucleotide transfer RNA is filed under the name Anguilla anguilla (European eel). RNAcentral's name for it is "tRNA-OTHER". The record is from RNAcentral. Lineage: Eukaryota; Metazoa; Chordata; Actinopteri; Anguilliformes; Anguillidae.